Molecule: microRNA, 23 nt
Filed under: Marchantia polymorpha subsp. ruderalis
Lineage: Eukaryota; Viridiplantae; Streptophyta; Marchantiopsida; Marchantiales; Marchantiaceae
Source: RNAcentral
GAUCCAUCGUCGGCCUCGCGGCA